RNAcentral lists this ribosomal RNA (301 nucleotides) under uncultured bacterium. RNAcentral's name for it is "partial 16S ribosomal RNA". It matches the Rfam family "Bacterial small subunit ribosomal RNA", at positions 509 to 809 of the family's 1533-position model. The record is from RNAcentral.
CAGUAGCCGCGGUAAUACGAGGGGUGCAAGCGUUAUUCGGAUUGAUUGGGUGUAAAGGGUGUGCAGACGGCUUAUUAAGUCACUUGUUAAAUUCUUCGGCCUAACUGCAGGUCUGCAAGUGAUACUGAUGAGCUAGAGGGUGGAAGAGAGAAGUGGAAUUCUCGGAGUAGCGGUAAAAUGCGUAGAUCUCGAGAGGAACACCAAUGGCGAAGGCAGCUUCUUGGUCCAUUCCUGACGUUCAUACACGAAAGCGUGGGGAGCAAACAGGAUUAGAUACCCGGGUAGUCCCUGUCUCUUAUAA